CUUUAGAGGUUCGUGGUAGGAGAGCGUUCUAAGGGCGGUGAAGUCAGACCGGAAGGACUGGUGGAGCGCUUAGAAGUGAGAAUGCCGGUAUGAGUAGCGAAAGAAGGGUGAGAAUCCCUUCCACCGAAUAUCUAAGGUUUCCUGAGGAAGGCUCGUCCGCUCAGGGUUAGUCGGGACCUAAGCCGAGGCCGAUAGGCGUAGGCGAUGGACAACAGGUAGAGAUUCCUGUACCAGUGCUAAUUGUUUAACCGAUGGGGUGACACAGAAGGAUAGGGAAUCGCACGAAUGGAAAUGUGCGUCCAAGCAGUGAGUGUGAGAAGUAGGCAAAUCCGCUUCUCACGAAGCAUGAGCUGUGAUGGGGAAGGAAAUUAAGUACGGAAGUUCCUGAUUUCACGCUGUCAAGAAAAGCCUCUAGGAAGAGUAGUACUGCCCGUACCGCAAACCGACACAGGUAGAUGAGGUGAGAAUCCUAAGGUGAGCGAGAGAACUCUCGUUAAGGAACU
This 503-nucleotide ribosomal RNA is filed under the name Escherichia coli. RNAcentral's name for it is "bacterial LSU rRNA". It matches the Rfam family "Bacterial large subunit ribosomal RNA", at positions 1212 to 1714 of the family's 2925-position model. The record is from RNAcentral. Lineage: Bacteria; Pseudomonadati; Pseudomonadota; Gammaproteobacteria; Enterobacterales; Enterobacteriaceae.